This 726-nucleotide long non-coding RNA is filed under the name Homo sapiens (human). Its description in RNAcentral is "HSALNT0018848". The record is from RNAcentral. Lineage: Eukaryota; Metazoa; Chordata; Mammalia; Primates; Hominidae.
GAGACAGGAGUCUUGCCGAUGCUCCAGGCUGAAUAAACCCCUUCCUUCUUUAACUUGGUGUCUGAGGGGUUUUGUCUGAGGCUUGUCCUGCUACAUUUCUUGGUUCCCUGACUGGGAAGCAAGGUGAUUAACAGACGGUCGAGGCAGCUCCUUAGGUGGCUUAGGCCUGCCCUGUGGAGCAUCCCUGCAGGGGACUCUGGCCAGCUUGAGCAAAGCAGAUCCUGAGAGCACUCCUAGGUAGGCAACUGCCCCAGUGGAAUGCCUCACCAGAGCAGCGCGUGGCAGGCCCCCGUGAAGGAUCAACACAGUGGCUGAACACCAGGAAGGAACUGGCACUUGGAGUCUGGACAACUGAAACUUGACAUUGUUGCUCCGGGUUCUCCUACUUUCAGACUUCAAGACUCCCACCUCCCCCUCCAACUGCCCAGCCUCUGACUGGGAGUUACUCCACUGGUGCACCUUUGUCUUGGACUAAAUUGCACCACGGGCUUUCCUGGUUCUUCAGCUUGCAGAAAGCAUAUCGUGGGACUGCUUGGCCUCCAUAAUCAUGUGAGCCAAACUUCAUAAUAAAUCUCCUCAUAUCUACUGUGUAUAUCUUUUGGUUCUGUUUCUCUGGAGAACCUGACUAAACUUGGGAGGUUGUGCAGGGAGAAGAAGCAUAUUGGAACUCUCUGUGCUUUUGGCUCAAUUUUAUUGUGAACUUAACACUGCUCUAAAAUAUAAAGU